UGCCAGCCGCCGCGGUAAUACAGAGGGUGCGAGCGUUAAUCGGAAUUACUGGGCGUAAAGCGUGCGUAGGUGGUUUGAUCGGUUGGUUGUGAAAGCCCUGGGCUCAACCUGGGAACUGCAUCCAAUACAGUCAAACUAGAGAUUAGGAGAGGAGAGUGGAAUUUCCGGUGUAGCGGUGAAAUGCGUAGAUAUCGGAAGGAACACCAGUGGCGAAGGCGGCUCUCUGGACUAAUACUGACACUGAGGCACGAAAGCGUGGGGAGCAAACAGGAUUAGAUA
Molecule: ribosomal RNA, 279 nt
Filed under: uncultured bacterium
Lineage: Bacteria
Description: partial 16S ribosomal RNA
Rfam family: Bacterial small subunit ribosomal RNA
Source: RNAcentral